UACGUAGGUGGCAAGCGUUGUCCGGAUUUACUGGGUGUAGAGGGCGUGCAGCCGGGCUGACAAGUCAGAUGUGAAAUCCCGCGGCUUAACCGCGGAACUGCAUUUGAAACUGUUGGUCUUGAGUAUCGGAGAGGCAGGCGGAAUUCCUAGUGUAGCGGUGAAAUGCGUAGAUAUUAGGAGGAACACCAGUGGCGAAGGCGGCCUGCUGGACGGCAACUGACGGUGAGGCGCGAAAGCGUGGGGAGCAAACAGG
RNAcentral lists this ribosomal RNA (253 nucleotides) under uncultured bacterium. RNAcentral's name for it is "partial 16S ribosomal RNA". It matches the Rfam family "Bacterial small subunit ribosomal RNA", at positions 524 to 776 of the family's 1533-position model. The record is from RNAcentral.